CCAUCGCCGCCUGGAUCGCCGUCGUCGGGCCUCCUUGCCGUCGCCAGUCCUGCUUGUUUUGUCGCCGGGAAACUCGUCGCCGUUGGGGUUGCACCGCCGCUGUUCCUGCUGUGGCUGGUGUCGCACCAGAGAACCAUCAUCGCAGGUUGAGGCUAACCCUUUUUGCUGUCGUUCAUCGUUGCUGCAGCUGACUUGCGGCUGUUGGAUCUGAUCGGAGAGGUGGGUGGUGAUGGCGGUGGAUGUUGGUGCUGGUUAGCGCGUCACUACUGCUGGCUGUUUUGAGCUGCUCUGCCGUCUCUGCCACCGGAUAAUGUAGCUUAGUCGCCGGAAAAGUUUGCCGUUGUCGUGAUCGGAAUUUGUCGCCGCUGCCGCUUGAGGUGGCUGCCGCUGAACCGGUUCAGAGACCGCCGCUAUUUCGGAUCAGCCGCUCUUUCUUCGGUUCGAGUUGUUGAGACUGUUGCGAAAGUGGCUUGGAGCUGAGGUUUUGGUUGCCGGUGAUUUCGAGUCGAGGCGGAAAGGAUUCUGUGACGCGUUUGGGCUAUGGUUUUGUGUUUUGAGGAUAUGGGCGCAGAAGUUACGAAGAAUUUAUUUAGUUAUUGUUGUGAUGUUCUGUAUUGUUUUGGAUUAUUAGUUAUUGUACCCUCGCCUUUAUCUUGAUAUAUUCUGUAAGAGGGAUAGGAAUUGUAUUGGUUACUGUUUGUAAUAUCAUUUAUAUAUAUGUAUGUAUAUAUAUAUGGAUGUGCUCUUUAUGAGUUUCUGUAAGUUGUAUGGUAUGUAUGGAUAUUCGUUGUAUAGCAAAAGUAGUUUUGGGAGCGGUAUUGCGGUUUAAAGUUUUAAACAGGCUCAUAUUUUAGUAUCAAAUAGCAUAAGUGUCAUCGUAAUGUCCGAGCUAUCAGAGUUGCGCAGCCGGAAGCGUGAGCUUUGGUAGUUAGGGUGUUACAUUAUGGUAUCAGAGCAGUUCUUCCUGUAGAGCCUGAGGAAUGGACUGACUAUGCUUCGAUUGCAUGCUCUGGGCGUUUGUCAUGUAUUAGGUCUUGUCGAAUGAUGAGAAUUAGAGCUUUAUGCACAUGACGAUCUAUUGAUUUAAUGCUGUUAGUCUCGCAUUGCAUAAUUCUUGGUAUUAAGUUUGGCCGGCUUAAUACUAGUGAAUUAUGUAUAUGAGAGCACUAAUGGGUUAUCAUAGAUGGUAUACGAGUUUUGAGUUAAGCGAAUCGCGGGUUCUGGGAACGUUGAAACUAUUUCUCGAGGCUAUUCAGUUGUGUGUUUUGGAAUUUGUUCGAGUCGACCUGUUCUUUCAUGUCCUAACUUGAAAUUCUUGUUUGCUACUCCUCUUGAAAAGUAGUUUGAUGUUUCUACUCUAUUCCUUUAUUCAUAUGCAUUCUUGUUUGAUCCUAAGUGCAUAUGCUUGUUUGAGAUCCUUGUUGUAUCUAUCUUUCUCUGUUUGAGUUCUUUUGAUUCACGUAUCCUUUGAUAUAGCUUUGAACUUGUCUUAAUGCACUGUGCCUUUUUAA
Molecule: long non-coding RNA, 1511 nt
Organism: Arachis stenosperma
Lineage: Eukaryota; Viridiplantae; Streptophyta; Magnoliopsida; Fabales; Fabaceae
Exons: 4
Source: RefSeq, a predicted model, not a curated record